Long non-coding RNA from Mytilus californianus (California mussel), 1678 nucleotides. RefSeq lists it as uncharacterized. NCBI's taxonomy places the organism in Eukaryota, Metazoa, Mollusca, Bivalvia, Mytilida, Mytilidae. The record is from RefSeq and is a predicted model, not a curated record. The transcript has 3 exons.
UUUUUAUACGACCGCAAAAAAUUUUUGCGGUCGUAUAUUGGUAUGACGUUGGCGUCGUCGUCGUCGUCGUCGUCGUCGUCGUCCGGCGUCGUCCGGCGUCGUCCGAAGACACAUUGGUUUUCGCACUCUAACUUUAGUUUAAGUGAAUGGAUCUCUAUGAAAUUUUACCAUAAGGUUCAAUACCACAAAAGGAAGGUUGUGAUUGAUUUUGGGGGUUAUGGUACCAACAGUUAAGGAAUUAUGGGCCAAAAAGGGGCCAAAAAUAAGCAUUUUUGUAACUUCCAUACAUAACUUGUGUGUUAGUGUAUGGAUCUCUCUGACAUUGUAACACAAGGUUCCAUAUCACACAGGGAAUGCUGGGAUUUAUUUUGGGGGUAAUUGCCUCAAAAUAUUAGGAAUUAGGGGCCAAAAAGUGGCAAAAAACAAGCAUUUUUCUACUUUCAUGACAAUAACUUGUUUGUAAGUGUAUGGAUCUUUCUGAAAUUGUACUACAAGGUUCCAUAUCACAAAGGGAAAGCUGGAAUUGAGUUUGGGGGUAAUUGCCUAGAAAAGUUUAGGAAUAAGGGACACAAAACAAGCAUUUUUCUAGUUUCAUGACAAUAACUUGUGUGUAAGUGUAUGGAUCUUUCUGAAAUUGUACUACAAGGUUCCAUAUCACAAAGGGAAAGCUGGAAUUGAGUUAAGGGGUAAUUGCCCAAAACGUUUAGGAAUAAGGGGCCAAAAAUAAGCAUUUUUCUAGUUUCCAGACAAUUACUUGUGUUCAAGUGUAUAGAUCUCUCUGAAAUUGUACUGCAAGGUACCAUACCACAAAGGAAAGGCUGGGAUUGAUUUUGGGGGUAAUUGCCUCAAAAUUUUAGAAAUUAGGGGCCAUAAAGGGGCAAAAAAACAUGUAUUUUUCUAGUUUCCAGACAAUAACUUGUAUUCAAGUGUAUAGAUCUCUCUGAAAUUGUACUGCAAGAUACCAUACCACAAAGGGAAGGCUGGGAUUGAUUUUGGGGGUAAUUGCCUCAAAAUUUUAGAAAUUAGGGGCCAUAAAGGGGCAAAAAAACAAGCAUUUUUCUUGUUUCAGGACAAUAACUUUUGUGUAAGUGUAUGAAUCUUUAUGAAAUUGUACUGCAAUGUUCCAUAUCACAAAGGGAAAGCUGGGUUUGAGUUUGGGGGUAAUUGCCCUAAACGUUUAGGAAUUUGGGGCCAAAAAGGGGCCAAAAAACAAGCAUUUUUCUAGUUUCCAGACAAUAACUUGUGUUCAAGUGUAUGGAUCUCUCUGAAAUUGUACUGCAAGGUACCAUACCACAAAGGGAAGGCUGGGAUUGAUUUUGGGGGUAAUUGCCUCAAAAUUUUAGGAAUUAGGGGCCAAAAAGGGGCAAAAAACAAGCAUUUUUCUAGUUUCAAGACAAUAACUUGCGUGUAAGUGUAUGGAUCUUUUUGAAAUUGUACUACAAGGUUCCAUAUCACAAAGGGAAAGCUGGGUUUGAGUUUGGGGGUAAUUGCCCUAAACGUUUAGGAAUUUGGGGCCAAAAAGGGACCUAAAAACAAGCAUUUUUCUAGUUUCCAGACAAUAACUUGUGUUCAAGUGUAUGGAUCUCUCUGAAAUUGUACUGCAAGGUACCAUACCACAAAGGGAAGGCUGGGAUUGAGUUUGGGGGUAAUGAAUCAUAAGGGGGUUCAAAAAAUUUGG